AACGAACGCUGGCGGCAUGCCUAACACAUGCAAGUCGAACGAGACCUUCGGGUCUAGUGGCGCACGGGUGCGUAACGCGUGGGAACCUGCCCUUAGGUUCGGAAUAACUCCCCGAAAGGGGUGCUAAUACCGGAUAAUUUCUUCGGACCAAAGAUUUAUCGCCUUUGGAUGGGUCCGCGUUGGAUUGGAUAGUUGGUAGGGUAAAAGCCUACCAAGGCGUAGAUCCAUAGCUGGUCUGAGAGGCUGAUCAGCCACCCUGGGACUGAGACACGGACCAGACUCCUACGGGAGGCAGCAGUGGGGAAUAUUGGACAAUGGGCGAGAGCCUGAUCCAGCAAUGCCGCGUGAGUGAUGAAGGCCUUAGGGUUGUAAAGCUCUUUUAACCGGGAUGAUAAUGACAGUACCGGGAGAAUAAGCUCCGGCUAACUCCGUG
Molecule: ribosomal RNA, 433 nt
Filed under: uncultured bacterium
Lineage: Bacteria
Description: partial 16S ribosomal RNA
Rfam family: Bacterial small subunit ribosomal RNA
Source: RNAcentral